Molecule: long non-coding RNA, 1600 nt
Organism: Cryptomeria japonica (Japanese cedar)
Lineage: Eukaryota; Viridiplantae; Streptophyta; Pinopsida; Cupressales; Cupressaceae
Exons: 11
Source: RefSeq, a predicted model, not a curated record
AUUUUUUCUUUGUCACAGGGCCACAUGGAUCCACCACAUAGCACAGAUAGGGGCGUAGGUCCUAACACUUCUACGGAGUAGAUGAAUGUUCGGGAUAAGGGAAAGGAACCUGCAGUACCUCAGCACCUCCAUAGGGAUGUGGGGUGGUCGACAGUGUUAUGCACUGAUGACAUCGCACUUAGCACAAACCCUAUACAAUUGGUACAAACGAAUAUUAGAAAAAUUAGCCAAGAGAUUGUUGAUUUGGCAACCAUAAGCCCUCAGACUGAUGAGAUAACAGAGAGGGUGCAACUAUUGUUGUGGACAGUGGAAAACUUGCAAAAAUUUAUAAGGGCUCAUCAUCCUGGUGAUGAUGAUCAGGGUAUUGCGGGUAGUUCAGGUGAUGACCAUGUUCUAUAUAUUAAAACCACUCCUUUGGACUUGUGAACUUGUUUUUUUAAUGUUUUAUAUAUUUAAUGUAUUACUCUUCAUGUGCUAACAUGGGUCCGAGGUCGACCCCAACUGUAUUGCCGACUGCAAUGUCGGCAACACAUAGCAUGCAGACAUCGUUUGUUGCACCGGAUCAUGUUGACCCGCCCACUAGUGGAGAUGCACAUGAGGAUGCACCAGAGGGGACUACUGGUGAUAAUAUACCAUCAUUUCCUGGAUCUUCCCGUAUUGCUAGUAUGGGAACGUUGUAGGCCACAUUGGUGGUGAGCGACGAAGAAUUAAUUCCCUUGAAGAUACAGAAGGUUCCAGGUGGAAUGACCAAGAAAAAAAGUUAAAAGAUGAACUCACAAACCGUAUGGUAGGGUUGUUUGGAAAUGACACAUUUGACAAGACUAAGCUCCUGGAAAAAGCUGGCACAUAUCUAAAGUAUGUGAGGGACCAAUACAUGACACAUUUAGAGAUGAAUGUAAAGUAUGAGCGUCCCCCCAUGAUUGCAGAGAGGGAGUGGAAGGACCUGAUUUUGAAUGCAAAUGAGAUAAUUGAAAGGAAAAAAGGAAAUACACCACCAGGCGCUAGAAGAAGAUUGAGUGACACAUCAAAGGCAACCAAGGCAAGACAAGAAAAGCAUGGGCAACACAAACUCGGCUCUGGUGGUUAUAUGAAACUUGUCGCACGAAUUGGCUCUGAAUUCAAUAGAGCACCCAUAGAAGAUGACAAGAGAAUUGGCUACCAGCAAGGCUAUAUAGCCGUGGCUAAAUGGCUAUGAGAACUGAGGGGCAAACACGAGAUUCUGAUGCAUCUGUCACAAUGCAUGAUAAUCGUGGAACAGAACCUAUACAUGAAGGUCCGGAUGUGCAUCCUAGUAGUGGAGAUCAUGUAGUCGGUGGUGACCAAGAGGAGCAUGAUCCAGGUAGACAACAUCAGGAAUGUGAUGUUCCCCAAUCAGAAGAUCUAGAGGGUGUUUAGCAUGUCGAGGUUGAGGCUAGACAAAAUGAUGUGGAAGAUGAUGUGGCCCCAUCAAGACCCCCCUUUGGUUCAGCAUCCUCAUCCUUUGUAUAGGACUAAGCAUACAUCAAGAGCAUGAGAAGAAGGCAGAACAUCCAAAGAUGGGGGAAAUGAUGAAGAAGACGAUGCUCCACUUAGACUUUACAUAGCUUCAAAAAAAAAACAA